GGGGGUGUAGCUCACAUGGUAGAGCGCUCCGUUCGCAUCGGAGAGGCAGCGGGAUCGAUACCCGUCACCUCCA
Acanthamoeba castellanii str. Neff is the source of this 73-nucleotide transfer RNA. It matches the Rfam family "tRNA". Rfam says of the family: Transfer RNA (tRNA) molecules are approximately 80 nucleotides in length. Their secondary structure includes four short double-helical elements and three loops (D, anti-codon, and T loops). NCBI's taxonomy places the organism in Eukaryota, Discosea, Longamoebia, Acanthamoebidae. The record is from Rfam.